This 254-nucleotide ribosomal RNA is filed under the name uncultured bacterium. Its description in RNAcentral is "partial 16S ribosomal RNA". It matches the Rfam family "Bacterial small subunit ribosomal RNA", at positions 524 to 776 of the family's 1533-position model. The record is from RNAcentral.
UACGUAGGGCGCAAGCGUUAUCCGGAAUUAUUGGGCGUAAAGAGCUCGUAGGCGGUGUGUCGCGUCGGCCGUGAAAACCUGGGGCUUAACUCUGGGCGUGCGGUCGAUACGGGCAUCACUAGAGUUCGGCAGGGGAGACUGGAAUUCCUGGUGUAGCGGUGAAAUGCGCAGAUAUCAGGAGGAACACCGGUGGCGAAGGCGGGUCUCUGGGCCGAUACUGACGCUGAGGAGCGAAAGCAUGGGUAGCGAACAGG